This 460-nucleotide ribosomal RNA is filed under the name uncultured bacterium. RNAcentral's name for it is "partial 16S ribosomal RNA". It matches the Rfam family "Bacterial small subunit ribosomal RNA", at positions 338 to 795 of the family's 1533-position model. The record is from RNAcentral.
CCUACGGGAGGCAGCAGUGAGGAAUAUUGGUCAAUGGACGAGAGUCUGAACCAGCCAAGCAGCGUGAAGGAUGACUGUCCUAUGGGUUGUAAACUUCUUUUAUAUGGGAAUAAAACGUUCCACGUGUGGGUGUUUGUAUGUACCAUAUGAAUAAGGAUCGGCUAACUCCGUGCCAGCAGCCGCGGUAAUACGGAGGAUUCGAGCGUUAUCCGGAUUUAUUGGGUUUAAAGGGAGCGUAGGUGGGUUGUUAAGUCAGUUGUGAAAGGUUGCGGCUCAACCGUAAAAUUGCAGUUGAAACUGGCAGUCUUGAGUACAGGAGAGGUGGGCGGAAUGCGUGGUGUAGCGGUGAAAUGCUUAGAUAUCACGAAGAACUCCGAUUGCGAAGGCAGCUCACUGGACUGCAACUGACACUGAGGCUCGAAAGUGUGGGUAUCAAACAGGAUUAGAUACCCUGGUAGUC